RNAcentral lists this unclassified non-coding RNA (336 nucleotides) under soil metagenome. Its description in RNAcentral is "partial contains 5.8S ribosomal RNA, internal transcribed spacer 2, and large subunit ribosomal RNA". The stretch from base 1 to 120 matches the Rfam family "5.8S ribosomal RNA", at positions 35 to 154 of the family's 154-position model. The record is from RNAcentral.
GAUGAAGAACGCAGCGAAAUGCGAUAAGUAAUGUGAAUUGCAGAAUUCAGUGAAUCAUCGAAUCUUUGAACGCACAUUGCGCCCGCCAGUAUUCUGGCGGGCAUGCCUGUUCGAGCGUCAUUUCAACCAUCAAGCCCCAGGCUUGUGUUGGGGACCUGCGGCUGCCGCAGGCCCUGAAAAACAGUGGCGGGCUCGCUAGUCACACCGAGCGUAGUAGCAUACACAUCGCUUAGGACGUGCUGCGGGUUCCGGCCGUUAAACCCCCCACUAUAUCAAGGUUUACCUCGGAUCAGGUAGGAAGACCCGCUGAACUUAAGCAUAUCAAUAAGCGGAGGA